Non-coding RNA from Mesocricetus auratus (golden hamster), 68 nucleotides. The record is from Rfam. NCBI's taxonomy places the organism in Eukaryota, Metazoa, Chordata, Mammalia, Rodentia, Cricetidae.
GGAGAAUUGGCUCAGUGGUUAAGAGCACUUGUUUUUUGCAAAGGACCUGGGUUCUAUUCCCAGCACCC